RNAcentral lists this ribosomal RNA (497 nucleotides) under uncultured bacterium. RNAcentral's name for it is "partial 16S ribosomal RNA". It matches the Rfam family "Bacterial small subunit ribosomal RNA", at positions 28 to 507 of the family's 1533-position model. The record is from RNAcentral.
GAUGAACGCUGGCGGCGUGCCUAAUACAUGCAAGUCGAGCGAACAGAUGAGGAGCUUGCUCCUCUGACGUUAGCGGCGGACGGGUGAGUAACACGUGGAUAACCUACCUAUCAGACUGGGAUAACUUCGGGAAACCGGAGCUAAUACCGGAUAAUAUAUUGAACCGCAUGGUUCAAUAGUGAAAGACGGUUUUGCUGUCACUUAUAGCUGGAUCCGCGCCGCAUUAGCUAGUUGGUAAGGUAACGGCUUACCAAGGGAACGAUGCGUAGGCGACCUGUGAGGCUGAUCGCCCACACUGGAACUGAGACACGGUCCAGACUCCUACGGGAGGCAGCAGUAGGGAAUCUUCCGCAAUGGGCGAAAGCCUGACGGAACAACGCCGCGUGAGUGAUGAAGGUCUUCGGAUCGUAAAACUCUGUUAUUAGGGAAGAACAAAUGUGUAAGGAACUAUGCACGUCUUGACGGUACCUAAUCAGAAAGCCACGGCUAACUACGUG